UAUCUUUGCCGUCGAAUUGGUUCCUGCUGCCCAGGCACACGGGCAGAGGAUUAAAAGGGAAUCGGGUGAAAGUCCCGAACAGUCCCGCUGCUGUGAAGCUCCAUUUCAAACGUCUUGAUAAUUACUCACUGCCACUGAUGCACCGUGCGUCGGGAAGGCUUCAAGACGGGAGUCAGUCAGAAGACCUGCCAUCAUUCAUUCAGCCAU
This 207-nucleotide non-coding RNA is filed under the name Bacteroides sp. Lineage: Bacteria; Pseudomonadati; Bacteroidota; Bacteroidia; Bacteroidales; Bacteroidaceae. RNAcentral also lists the same sequence under 1 other name. The record is from RNAcentral.